GAAUUUUAUAUAAUUAUUAUUUGAAUUUUUGGUAUUUUAUAUAAGAGAGAUUAGUAGUUAUAUUUAGUUGGGAGGAUUGUUAAAUUUUUUAAACUUUAAUUAUGAUAUUACAUAGAUGAAUGAAUUAAGGAGUGAUUUAUUGUAUAAAAAAAAUAAUUAAAUAAAAAUUAAUUACCUUAGGGAUAACAGCGUAAUAUUUUUGGUGAGAUCAUAUUAAUAAAAAUGUUUGC
RNAcentral lists this ribosomal RNA (230 nucleotides) under Ochetomyrmex neopolitus. RNAcentral describes it as "partial large subunit ribosomal RNA". Lineage: Eukaryota; Metazoa; Arthropoda; Insecta; Hymenoptera; Formicidae. The record is from RNAcentral.